This 397-nucleotide ribosomal RNA is filed under the name uncultured bacterium. RNAcentral describes it as "bacterial SSU rRNA". It matches the Rfam family "Bacterial small subunit ribosomal RNA", at positions 71 to 474 of the family's 1533-position model. The record is from RNAcentral.
ACAAAUAGUUUACUAGGUGUUUCUUAGUGGCGGACGGGUUAGUAACACGUGAGUAACAUGCCUCGAAGUGGGGGAUAGCCUUUCGAAAGAGAGAUUAAUACCGCAUGUGGUCUUCGGACCAAAGGUGCCUUCGGGUGCCGCUUUGAGAUUGGCUCGCGGCCUAUCAGCUAGUUGGUGAGGUAACGGCUCACCAAGGCAACGACGGGUAGCUGUUCUGAGAGGAAGAUCAGCAACACUGGAACUGAGACACGGUCCAGACACCUACGGGUGGCAGCAGUCGAGAAUCAUUCACAAUGGACGAAAGUCUGAUGGUGCAACGCCGCGUGGAGGAUGAAGGCCCUAGGGUCGUAAACUCCUGUCAUAUAAGAGUAAGACAUAGUUGGUUAAUACCCAGUUA